Molecule: long non-coding RNA, 683 nt
Organism: Aedes aegypti (yellow fever mosquito)
Lineage: Eukaryota; Metazoa; Arthropoda; Insecta; Diptera; Culicidae
Exons: 2
Source: RefSeq, a predicted model, not a curated record
UUGAAGAAAGGUACAGCAAUCUAAGCAGUCAGUGGAUGCGGGGAGUGGUAAACAGUGAAGGGUAGAAAAUGACAGCUGACGAGUCGGCGAGCUGGUUGAUUCGUAAAUGUGAUUUCCCCUCUAGUGGUUGCUAUCGUUUCCAUAGGAUUGUUUUUAUUGAUCGUAGUGCUUUGAUAAUGAGAAGCAAAACUCAAAGCAUUUGCAAACUAACAAUAAACUCCAUAGAGUAGAAAGACUCAGUUUAGAGUUGCUUCCUUCCAGGGGACCGGCCAGGACAACUGCAUUAAAUACAGGCUGUUACCCGUAGGCGAUGGGCUACGACAAAAAUAGGGAGUUCGCCGAAAUUUCGCGGUGUGUCGUACCAUCGGCUGAUGAACAGAAUUCCAUGGAUGAGGAGAGUUAUGAUAUUAUUUACACUAUCUUCUGCUAACCAUUAUCCUUAUUUUUAGCAAACAAAACUGAACGUAACAGAUAGAUGGUAUUGACUUAACCGAUGAAACUGUCGAGUGCGCUGGUUCUCUUUUUAAACGGGUGCCGGUAACACAUGGAAGCCCGUUUACUGUAAAUGGAAUGAAAGCUUUUGUAAUCUUGAGUAUUUUUUACUGUUCAGAAAUUUUGGUUAAUUAAAAAUUCUUUGACCAGUGAUACAUAUGAAACUAAAUAAAAUGCAAUUGAAUAUUGUA